Molecule: long non-coding RNA, 365 nt
Filed under: Homo sapiens (human)
Lineage: Eukaryota; Metazoa; Chordata; Mammalia; Primates; Hominidae
Description: HSALNT0332629
Source: RNAcentral
ACACACACACUUGGACACUACACACACAGCUGAGGAGUAACUUUCCUCUUCUCGCGGAGCACCCUAUCCCCUAUUAUCGGCAUCUGAUCUUCCUAGUUCGGAUCCCCGGAACACACGCCUUCUCCAGCCUGCAAUCUACACACGUGGGGAAGCGCGUCCAAGUGGUGCCAGGAGGCAGGAGGGAAGCGCAAAGGUUAAUGCACACCAAGUCCACGUCCUGAUGCAGCAGCACCUCAUCAAUGCGGCUAGUGUAGAAGGGGACACUCAUCUCCUUGGCCAGCUCCUCCGCUUCUUCCUGCGUGCGGCCCCACAGCGCCUUCACCGCGAAGCCCUCGUCUUUCAGCAGCGGGAUGAUGACACGGGCC